This 253-nucleotide ribosomal RNA is filed under the name uncultured bacterium. RNAcentral's name for it is "partial 16S ribosomal RNA". It matches the Rfam family "Bacterial small subunit ribosomal RNA", at positions 524 to 776 of the family's 1533-position model. The record is from RNAcentral.
UACGGAGGGUGCGAGCGUUAAUCGGAAUCACUGGGCGUAAAGCGCGCGUAGGCGGCUUUUCAAGUCAGGGGUGAAAUCCCACGGCCCAACCGUGGAACUGCCUUUGAAACUGUAGAGCUUGGGUGUCGGAGAGGGUGGCGGAAUUCCAGGUGUAGGAGUGAAAUCCGUAGAUAUCUGGAGGAACACCGGUGGCGAAGGCGGCCACCUGGACGACAACUGACGCUGAGGUGCGAAAGCGUGGGUAGCAAACAGG